Molecule: ribosomal RNA, 460 nt
Filed under: uncultured bacterium
Lineage: Bacteria
Description: partial 16S ribosomal RNA
Rfam family: Bacterial small subunit ribosomal RNA
Source: RNAcentral
CCUACGGGUGGCAGCAGUGAGGAAUAUUGGUCAAUGGACGAGAGUCUGAACCAGCCAAGUCGCGUGAAGGAUGACUGCCCUAUGGGUUGUAAACUUCUUUUCUAUGGGAAUAAAACAGGGUAUGCAUACCCUCAUGUAUCUACCAUCUGAAUAAGGAUCGGCUAACUCCGUGCCAGCAGCCGCGGUUAUACGGAGGAUCCGGGCGUUAACCGGAUUUUUUGGGUUUAAAGGGAGGGGAGGUGGAAUGUUAAGUCAGUUGUGAAAGUUUGCGGAUCAACCGUAGAAUUGCAGAUGAAACUGGCAGUCUUGAGUGCAGGAGAGGUAGGCGGAAUUCGCGGUGUAGCGGUGAAAUGCAUAGAUAUCACGAAGAACUCCGAGUGCGAAGGCAGCUUACUGGACUGCAACUGACGCUGAUGCUCGAAAGCGUGGGUAGCAAACAGGAUUAGAUACCCUUGUAGUC